Molecule: unclassified non-coding RNA, 511 nt
Filed under: Hevea brasiliensis (rubber tree)
Lineage: Eukaryota; Viridiplantae; Streptophyta; Magnoliopsida; Malpighiales; Euphorbiaceae
Source: RNAcentral
GCAGAUUAUAUAACUUAAAAGUCUAGCAGAAGUGAUUUAUGUCAUGAAAUGGAAAUUUCCAACCAACAGGAAUUACUCCUUAAUGUUUAGGAGUAGAAGCAGUUUAUAUACCAUCCAGUUUUUCCCUUGGCUAUCAUUGCUCAAACAAAUUAUUAAUCAUUAUUAAGUCAUCAUUCUCUCAGAUGUGCUAUCCCUCAAGAAUCUAACACUAAUAAUCUAUAUUAGAGAAAAAUGACUGGCAUAUUCAAUCCAAAACACAAAGGUCAAAAUCCUUCAGAACUCAAAUAUAGCAUAAUUUUGGCAAAAGAUUAAUUUCUUUUUUUUUUUAAACAAGUCAAAGAAGCACCCCACAUCCAACUACCAUAAUCAACAUUAAGAAUAUGUAUGUGGGUAAUGAAAUUAAAAACAGCAGCUUCAUCAAUUUCAAAAUGGAAACUAGGCCUGUUAAUUCUUUUGCUGUGAAUUUUGCAUUAAUGAAUACUAAAACAAAAGCAAAUCUGCACAUGCUAGA